Long non-coding RNA from Oncorhynchus tshawytscha (Chinook salmon), 717 nucleotides. RefSeq lists it as uncharacterized. The record is from RefSeq and is a predicted model, not a curated record. The transcript has 3 exons. NCBI's taxonomy places the organism in Eukaryota, Metazoa, Chordata, Actinopteri, Salmoniformes, Salmonidae.
AAUGCUACACCUCUUGUCGUCUGUCAAUUGUGGCCAAGUAUAGGCGCCAGGGCCGAAUGCUUGGUUGCGGUUGGAACCAUUGGGCAGCCUAUAGUGGAGAGAAAAGGGAAGGGAGCGAGACGAGAGAUAAUCUCAUCCGCUCGCGAUGUUUAGAUUGGGACAGCGUCUUCUUCCCCGGGCCUCGAGCCUCGCGGCCGGUUUGAGAGAGUUAAAGGGAGGCCCGGGCUCAAAGUAAACACAAUCUUUGUACUUAAAGUUACUGAGAAGAGUGCACGUGUGAUGACCGGUUCGUUUGUUUGUUUUGGACAAUAACUAUGGACAAUUAGGUUAUUUUCAUAAGACCCCAGACUACCCCAGGUCCCAGGGGCGGCUCGCUGGCAGAGAAAGAAACCAUCUCUGUCGCUCUACUCUGGUCUGGACAGAGCUGCUCCUCUGCUACACAUUGGUCUGGGAGUGGAGGAGGAGGAAGCCUUGCUGGUUCCCAAGAGAAAGUGACCCUCAUGGCCUAAAAAUCUAAAUAACCGGUGGCCAUGUUAGCCUUCACUGCAGCUGGCACGGAACACAACAAUGAACCAAUCCAUCAUGGGGUAGAGGUCUGCUGGUACAGCUCAGGGACCAACGUAUCCUACUAUCCUACCUUAUAUCCUGGCCUAUGUCCUCCUGGUUUUGACCCUUGCCUGUUCUGGACUCUGUACCCGCCUGCCUGACCAUUCUGCC